GAUCCUGGCUCAGGAUGAACGCUAGCUACAGGCUUAACACAUGCAAGUCGAGGGGAAACGACAUCGAAAGCUUGCUUUUGAUGGGCGUCGACCGGCGCACGGGUGAGUAACGCGUAUCCAACCUGCCCAUCACUUGGGAAUAACCUUGCGAAAGUAAGACUAAUACCCAAUGAUAUCCCACGAAGGCAUCCGAAUGGGAUUAAAGAUUUAUCGGUGUACGAUGGGGAUGCGUUCCAUUAGGUAGUAGGCGGGG
This 253-nucleotide ribosomal RNA is filed under the name uncultured bacterium. Its description in RNAcentral is "partial 16S ribosomal RNA". It matches the Rfam family "Bacterial small subunit ribosomal RNA", at positions 15 to 257 of the family's 1533-position model. The record is from RNAcentral.